AUUUUGUUUUGUGAAUUCUUGGAGUCUAUUCGUCAAUUUUCUUCUUCACUUGUAGACAAACUUUUCUUUCAUCUUUGAUUUGUAGGCAUGAGGAUCUUGGUCGAAUCUAUUCGCUGUGCUGUCAAGAAGAGACUGAGUUCUGGACCUGACGGACUUUCUCGAGGUCCGUCAAAGAAAUUGAGAGGAGGAUCCUCCCCUCGGG
This 202-nucleotide long non-coding RNA is filed under the name Elaeis guineensis (African oil palm). RNAcentral describes it as "long non-coding RNA (EGUI_LNC011485)". Lineage: Eukaryota; Viridiplantae; Streptophyta; Magnoliopsida; Arecales; Arecaceae. The record is from RNAcentral.